CUGUUUCCUUUAGGAUGACUUCUUGCCCAGGACAGCUACACCUCUAGAAGACAUAUUCAAGUCUCUUUUCUGUUUGCCAUGUUUGCUAUGCAUAAGGUGCAUGAAGGAUACAUGUGUUCCAGAG
This is a non-coding RNA of Camelina sativa (false flax), 124 nucleotides long. The record is from RefSeq and is a predicted model, not a curated record. Lineage: Eukaryota; Viridiplantae; Streptophyta; Magnoliopsida; Brassicales; Brassicaceae.